Empidonax traillii (willow flycatcher) is the source of this 89-nucleotide small nuclear RNA. RefSeq annotates it as U2 spliceosomal RNA. The record is from RefSeq and is a predicted model, not a curated record. Lineage: Eukaryota; Metazoa; Chordata; Aves; Passeriformes; Tyrannidae. The transcript has a single exon.
UUCACUUCUUGGCCUUUUGGCUAAGAUCAAGUGUAGUAUCUGUUCUUAUCAGUUUAAUAUCUGAUACGUCAAUGAUGGCACAAUUCCAU